UCCAAACAGUCUUGAGAACGGAUAAUAUUCAGAACGCAUUUGUGAAAAACUGGAGGAUCUACGAUGAACAUUUUCACAAAGAGUUCAUUUCUACUUCUCUCGAUUCAGAUUUCUUUAAUCUUUGCCGUUUCGAUUUCGAACUCCGUUUUCUUUGAUCGUAUGUGAUCCGUACGCGUUCAUCUUCGUGAUGCAGUCAUCUUAUUUUAUCAAGCCGCUUGAACCGGUGCGCGAUCCUUAUCGGAAUGAUUUCUCGUUCUUCUCUCUGAUUCAAGCGGAUUGAGCUAAGUUUACCUCAUCUGAAAACAACGAUAAAACGGCAGAAAAUCCGAAAGAGAUUUGGCAUUUUUGGAGGAAGAAGGAACUGCCUUCGUAUGAGGCAACGAGCAGGAAUAAGGGAAGACAACAGAUGCUGCAAAUGAAGAAGCUGAAACGGAGUUGUUGCAAUAAUGGUCGCAAACAACAGUCACCUUACAUGGUUCUCUCUUCCCUAAAUUAAAAAUUUACCGUUGUCACAUGAAGAUCAGGUGUGUUUUGCUUAGCUAAAAUUUGGCAGUUGGCGUAGUAUGUGAGGAAGAAAGUGGUCUACCAAUAAUCUACAUACCUUUACAUGAGUAAGAGAGAUGAGAGAAGAACCAAUGGACCAAAAUCAGUAGUGCAAAUUGUGCCGAGAAGUUCGACCCGAAGUUAAGAUAACCUUGGCCAAGACUGAGAUAAGGAGACCAAGUAGAAGUAAAGGCCGAGGCCAAAGAGACCAAGUUGAAGUAAAGAGCAAAGGUUGAGGCAACCAAUGUUAGGGUUAAGGAGACCAAGUUAGAGUGAAGAGCAACAACCGAGACUAUCGAGGUCAAAGAGACCAAGUUGAAACAAAGAGCCAAGGUCGAGGCUUAAGAUCAAAAUUUCAUAGAAGUUGAUCGAGGUCGACCUUAAAUGCAUCAAGGCAAUAUAUUUUCACCAUCCAUAUGCGUUCAAAUACACUGUGAAAAGUAGCUGAGUUCGACCCUAAGUACAUUAGGAUCAAAUAUCUCUACCGACUUCAUCCUAACGUUUAGAAGGUUGUGAUAACCCUAAAUGUUUAAGGUUAAGGUUGAGGCUCAAGCUUAUCAACAGAAAGUUGAGUUGCUCAAGAUCUAGAGACGGUUGAAAUUAAGGUUGAGGUUGAGACCAAGGAGUACCACUAGACACCAAAAAUUAAUUAGAACCUCGAAAGAUAACAGGACAAGCAAAAGACAAACAUGUGAAGCUUGAUUGAAGAAAAGCCGCCAUCCAAGGUUGACCAGCCCAUAAGAUAU
Molecule: long non-coding RNA, 1289 nt
Organism: Benincasa hispida (wax gourd)
Lineage: Eukaryota; Viridiplantae; Streptophyta; Magnoliopsida; Cucurbitales; Cucurbitaceae
Source: RefSeq, a predicted model, not a curated record